CCCAUUUAACAGCUGACUACCACUCUGGAAGGAUCUCUUUUGGAGAUUGUUCCUCUUGGAGUCUUCUCAGUAAGCCCAGGAUGAGGAUUAUCAUCUCUCCAGAAGUCAUCAGAAAGAAAAAAGUUUCCAUGACUCGGUUACCCUAUACUGAGCCAAAAAAAUCUUGUGGUACUGAAGAAAGCCUCAUUUCUUUGAGGAGAGAAGAUGGAAAAUUCCCAUGCGAGUAAGGAGAGAGUGGCAAGUUUCAAGCAUUUGUUAACUUCAGUAGUUUUCUUGCAAUUGCAAGAAAAUUGUUGUGUCAGAACUAUACUUGCUCUCUAGGUUUUCCCUGCAGUAUUUCUGUGCUUCAAUUAUAUCCUCUUUUGUGACAUCAAGGAAAGUUUGGAAAAAGAACAACAACCAAAAGAAGUCUACUCCUAAAAUUCUGUGGAAUAUAGAGAUUAAAGCACUUGUUUUCAUCUACAGAAAUGGAAAGUUUCACAGAAUAUGGGUUAAACUGAGUAGCAUGUUGCAUUAGGAAGAAUAUAUUUUAUAGUUUGGAAAACAAGAGUUUAAGAGGAACUUGGAUCACUAAGAGCCUCUUUUGGUUUUCUUUUUGCAAUGCAGUUUCCUACUUGUCCUUUUUGGCAUAAUGUAUCA
Molecule: long non-coding RNA, 639 nt
Organism: Lagopus muta (rock ptarmigan)
Lineage: Eukaryota; Metazoa; Chordata; Aves; Galliformes; Phasianidae
Exons: 3
Source: RefSeq, a predicted model, not a curated record